RNAcentral lists this ribosomal RNA (120 nucleotides) under uncultured bacterium. RNAcentral's name for it is "partial 16S ribosomal RNA". It matches the Rfam family "Bacterial small subunit ribosomal RNA", at positions 30 to 148 of the family's 1533-position model. The record is from RNAcentral.
AUUGAACGCUGGCGGCAUGCCUUACACAUGCAAGUCGAACGCGAAAGCGGGGCAACCCGCAAGUAGAGUGGCGAACGGGUGAGUAAUACAUCGGAACGUAUCCAGUAGCGGGGGAUAACC